RNAcentral lists this ribosomal RNA (433 nucleotides) under uncultured bacterium. RNAcentral describes it as "partial 16S ribosomal RNA". It matches the Rfam family "Bacterial small subunit ribosomal RNA", at positions 29 to 507 of the family's 1533-position model. The record is from RNAcentral.
AACGAACGCUGGCGGCAUGCCUAACACAUGCAAGUCGGACGAGACCUUCGGGUCUAGUGGCGCACGGGUGCGUAACGCGUGGGAAUCUGCCCUUCGGUUGGGAAUAACUGAGAGAAAUUUCAGCUAAUACCUUAUAAUGUCUUCGGACCAAAGAUUUAUCGCCGAGGGAUGAGCCCGCGUAGGAUUAGGUAGUUGGUGGGGUAAUGGCCUACCAAGCCGACGAUCCUUAGCUGGUCUGAGAGGAUGAUCAGCCACACUGGGACUGAGACACGGCCCAGACUCCUACGGGAGGCAGCAGUGGGGAAUAUUGGACAAUGGGCGAAAGCCUGAUCCAGCAAUGCCGCGUGAGUGAUGAAGGCCUUAGGGUUGUAAAGCUCUUUUACCCGGGAUGAUAAUGACAGUACCGGGAGAAUAAGCUCCGGCUAACUCCGUG